GAUGAAGAACGUAGCGAAAUGCGAUAAGUAAUGCGAAUUGCAGAAUUUCCGUGAGUCAUCGAAUCUUUGAACGUACAUUGCGCCCACUGGUAUUCCGGUGGGCAUGCCUGUUCGAGCGUCAUUAUCCUCCCUCAAACCCCGGGUUUGGUGUUGGACCGAAGUUGUGUGAACAACUGGUCUAAAAGACAAUGACGGCGUCCGUGGGACCCUCGGUGCAACGAGCUUUUAGGAGCACGCGCCCAGUUGCAAGGACCUUCCGGGCCGGUCUCCUUUUACUAUUUUACAAGGUUGACCUCGGAUCAGGUAGGAAUACCCGCUGAACUUAAGCAUAUCAAUAAGCGGAGGA
RNAcentral lists this unclassified non-coding RNA (346 nucleotides) under soil metagenome. Its description in RNAcentral is "partial contains 5.8S ribosomal RNA, internal transcribed spacer 2, and large subunit ribosomal RNA". The stretch from base 1 to 121 matches the Rfam family "5.8S ribosomal RNA", at positions 35 to 154 of the family's 154-position model. The record is from RNAcentral.